Long non-coding RNA from Lineus longissimus, 611 nucleotides. RefSeq lists it as uncharacterized. Lineage: Eukaryota; Metazoa; Nemertea; Pilidiophora; Heteronemertea; Lineidae. The record is from RefSeq and is a predicted model, not a curated record. The transcript has 3 exons.
UUGUUGUGUAAGCUAUUGGUAAGAUUGUAUAAGGAUGCUGGUCAGAAGGUCUUGGUGGCAAAUUUAGUGGCGAAAUUACCCAAAGUUUGCCUCAAUAGCACAAAGCUGUCCGUAUAUAAACCGAAACGCGAUCAGACUGCAUCACCCUGUCGUAUUUUGGUGACACGUUUCGUGAUAAACCAUUUUUGAGAUCAGCAAGAGACCGUAUUACUAAUAGCAUCAUGAAGUCAGCCAUCCUUAUAUGCUGUUUGGUUCUUUUCACCCUUGCAUUGGCGGACCCAGAGGCCAUCACGAGUUGCACUCACAGGGGUAGGGAGUAUGAAAAUGGUUCUAUCAUCAGCCGAAAGGGGUGCAAUAUCAUCAAGUGUCGAAACGGAAUGAAAGUAGGCUACCCGGAUUUGGUAGAAGUCGACGGGAAAUGGAAAUGUAGAGAAGAGUAGAGUGGCGAAGUCACCAAAUAUAAUUGCACACCGCCCACGACAUCAACCCUCUCGUCAGGGCUUUUCUGUUUUUGAGCGUUUCGGCAAGGAGCGUCCAUCUCAAGAACAAGAACAACAUCAACAACAAAAAUGAGCGAUUGUCACUGUAAACCCAUUUAUUGUAAGACAUCU